Nomascus leucogenys (northern white-cheeked gibbon) is the source of this 107-nucleotide small nuclear RNA. The record is from Ensembl. Lineage: Eukaryota; Metazoa; Chordata; Mammalia; Primates; Hylobatidae.
GUGCUUGCUCCGGCAGCACAUAUAUUAAAAUGAGAACAAUACAGAGAAGAUUAGCAUGGCCCCUUUGCAAGGAUGACAUGCAAAUUUGUGAAGCGUCCCAUAUUUUG